Molecule: ribosomal RNA, 510 nt
Filed under: uncultured bacterium
Lineage: Bacteria
Description: bacterial SSU rRNA
Rfam family: Bacterial small subunit ribosomal RNA
Source: RNAcentral
GACGAACGCUGGCGGCGUGGAUUAGGCAUGCAAGUCGAACGGUAUCAUCCUUUCGGGGGUGAGAGAGUGGCGAACUGGUGAGUAACACGUAGGUUAUCUACCCUCAAGACGGGGACAACCCAGGGAAACUUGGGCUAAUACCGGAUGUGAGCAACUUUUAGUUGUUUGAAAGGUGGCGUAAGCUGUCGCUUGGGGAUGAGCCUGCGUCCUAUUAGUUAGUUGGUGAGGUAACGGCCCACCUAGGCAAUGAUAGGUAGGCGGCCUUAACGGGUGGUCGCCCACACUGGGAUUGAGAUACGGCCCAGACUCCUACGGGAGGCAGCAGUCGAGAAUAGUCUACAAUGGUCGGAAGACUGAUAGUGCGACGCCGCGUGAACGAUGAAUCCCUUCGGGGUGUAAAGUUCUUUUAUAUGUGAGCAGUGCUUCUUAUAUUAACAGUAUGGGGAGAGAGAUAUUAGCAUAUGAAUAAGCAACGGCUAACUCCGUGCCAGCAGCCGCGGUAAAAUCACG